Non-coding RNA from Heterocephalus glaber (naked mole-rat), 5727 nucleotides. The record is from RefSeq and is a predicted model, not a curated record. NCBI's taxonomy places the organism in Eukaryota, Metazoa, Chordata, Mammalia, Rodentia, Bathyergidae.
CUUUAGAGGGUCAGGGCCAUUAAGCCACAGAUGGCUACCCUGACCACUCCUGGAUGUGUUGUUCCUGUAGGCUUCCCUCUGGGCAUACAAGAGAUGGGCCAUGGGGCUGGAGGGGGCAGAGGCAGUGCAGCUGGUUUGGGGCUUGAUGGGUUCCUUUCAAGAUCGCUCUGAGCUCACCCUGUCCUGCUCUAGGUAAACAUUUACAAUCACGGGCGCACAUGGCCCUGACUGUGGGAGGAGGCCGUGGAUUUUUGCUGGAAAAAACAAGUGUCUCUUUUCUUUGUUUUUGAGACAGGGUCCUCACUAUGUAGUCCAGGCUGACCUUGAACUUACUAUGUAGCCUAGGGCGGCCUCGAACUCCAAGUGAUCCUCCUGCCUCAGCCUCUCGAGUGCUGGGAUUACAGGAGUGCACCACCAAGCCCAGCUGAAAAAGCAGGUUUUACAAAUGCUCAUUCAGUGUGAUCCCCUAGUGGAAAAUGAGUACAGUAAAGUGGUACAUAGAGGAAAUAUGGAGAAAAUCCCCCGAUUCAGCAUUGUUCAUCCAUGGAGGGCUCAGAUGAGGGUAAUUUUAACUUCCUGCAUUCUGUAUGUUUCUAUGAUGUUUAAGUGUUUAACCCUGCACAUGUAAUACUUUGGCAAUUAGAAUGGUCAACAAAGAAGAAUGGUUUUGGGGGGGCUCCACCCCUCACCAUCACCUUUUCUACACUUUCUAAACAGCCCCCAAGCUGGUUCAGGGAGCCCUGCUUCCCUAUAACCAGAGAGUGUUUUUGUGUCCUAAAAGAUUUUGUUCUGAGUGUGCAGCAUUAAUUAUUAAAGAGCUGCGUUCAAUCCUCUCAGCCAAGUUUAAUGUUUAGUUUGAGGACUGAAAAACUAAAGUGUUUGUCCCUUGACUUUGCACCCUGUUGCUUACGUGUUUAGAAAGAAAGGGGAGGAAGGGAAAGAGAGAAAAGAAAAGGGGGAAGCAGUGUCAUUCUGUUUUGCUUGUUUUGGUGACUGUAUUGAUGCUAAGACCUGAAACACUUUGCUACGGUGACAGUGACACUGCUUUCCUUCUCUCCCAGCCUAGGGAAAAAGGCUGCCAUGCUAACAGUUACUGAUUCAGGGAGGGAGGGAGACUGAGUAGCAAAAUGAAAGAUAAAAAUUCAAGGAUGGUUGAGAGAGAGGGGAGCUGGGAACGGUGAGAAAAGGAAGGCAGCUUCCAGGAGGAGGUGGCUGGAGGGGCCCAGGAUGGGGAGCAGACAGAGCACAGGAGCUGCAGUGCCGGCCCCCACUUUUCCCUAAGAGAGAGUUGGGGUCCCGCCCUGGCUGUGGCCCUGGGCUCAGAGAGGCCCAACCUACUGCAGCUCUGGACUCUGCUCGGGAUUCCCGCUGAACUGAGAAGGCUGGCCGACGAGCAAGGGUCGGACCCAAAGCGCUCCACAGAAAGCCAGGCUUCUGUCUCUUCGAGAGCCACCUCUUCACCUCAGAUCUCAGGAAGGUCUGGCCCAUGGAGGAUGACAUGCGGGGACAAAGAGAGUCCAUCUCCCUCACACCCACGGCCCUCGGUGUGGAGAAUGCAGGGGCUGAGUUCUUGGAAAGCCUGGAGGAAGGCCGGCUCCCUGGUAGCAGCGACUCAAGCCCCCACCAAGGCGGGCACACUGUGGAGAGGAAGCGCCUGUGGGGAUGGAGAAGCCUGCACCGGGCCCUGCCAGGAAGACCUAGUGCACUCCUCCGAUGGAUGGGCACAGGCCUGCUCUGUGCUGCAUAUGCUGCCUUCUUGCUCGCUGCCUGCCUUCUGGACUUCCAGAGGGCUCUGGCACUUUGCAUUGUCACCUGUGUGGUCCUGACCUUCCUGGCCCACAGUCUACUGAAGAGGUGUUUGGGCCCAACGCUGAGUGGGUGUGCGAUGCUUCAGGGCAACCCUCGCCUGCACCUCUGGUUUAACCGAGCUCUCGCCCUCACUGCGGUUCUGGGCUUGGCCUUGUGGCUGGCGCUGGAUACCUCCCAGCGGCCUGAGCAGCUGGUGUCCUUCGCAGGGAUCUGCGUGAUCGUCUCUCUCCUCUUUGCCUGCUCAAAGCAUCGCCAUGCUGUCUCCUGGCAGGCCGUGACCUGGGGCCUCGGGCUCCAGUUUGUGCUUGGACUCUUCGUCAUCAGAACAGAACUCGGAUUUAUCGCAUUCCAGUGGCUGGGUGAUCAGAUCCACAUCUUCCUGAGCUACACCACAGCAGGGUCCGCCUUUGUGUUUGGGGAGGCUCUGGUCAAGGAUGUCUUCGCCUUUCAGGUUCUGCCCAUCAUUGUUUUCUUCAGCUGUGUCAUGUCAGUGCUCUACUAUAUGGGUCUGAUGCAAUGGGUGAUCUUGAAGAUUUCCUGGCUGAUGCAGAUCACCAUGGGCACCACGGCCACCGAGACCCUGAGUGUGGCAGGAAACAUCUUUGUGAGCCAGACCGAGGCCCCCCUACUGAUCCGGCCCUACCUGGCAGACAUGACACUCUCUGAGGUCCACGUGGUCAUGACUGGGGGCUAUGCCACCAUCGCCGGCAGCCUACUGGGUGCCUACAUCUCUUUUGGGAUCGACGCCAGCUCACUGAUUGCGGCGUCCGUGAUGGCCGCCCCGUGUGCCUUGGCCCUGUCCAAGCUGGUCUACCCCGAGGCGGAGGAGUCCAAGUUCCGCAGUGAAGAAGUGCGGCUGAGCUACGGGGUCCCUCUUUUGAAACCUUACCUUGCUGUGUGGGGAAUGCCCAUGAUAGCGGCUCUUGGUCCCAACAACAGAGAUGCUCAGAACCUUGUAGAAGCCCUCAGCAGUGGGGCCGCCGCCUCCGUGAAGGUCGUUGCCAACAUCGCCACCAACCUGAUCGCAUUCCUGGCUGUGCUGGCCUUCAUCAACGCAGCACUGUCCUGGCUUGGAGCCCUGGUAGACAUCCCAGGGCUCAGCUUCCAGCUCAUCUGCUCCUAUGUCCUUCGGCCAGUGGCCUUCUUGAUGGGUGUGCCCUGGGAGGACUGCCCGGUGGUGGCCGAGCUGCUGGGGACCAAGCUCUUCCUGAACGAAUUCGUGGCCUACCAGGGGCUUUCCGAGUACAAGCGGCGUCGCCUGGCCGGGGCUGAGGAGUGGGUUGGUGCCAGGAAGCAGUGGAUCUCGGUCCGAGCAGAAACCCUCACCACGUUUGCCCUCUGUGGAUUUGCCAAUGUCAGCUCCAUCGGCAUCAUGCUGGGCGGCCUGACCUCCCUGGUCCCCCAUCGGAGAAGUGACUUCGCCAGGCUUGUGCUGCGGGCACUCUUCACUGGCGCCUGUGUGUCCCUCGUCAACGCCUGUGUGGCAGGCAUCCUCUAUGUACCCAGGGGCCCCAAGUCCGGGUGCGGGGGCCUCCUGAAUCACACGCUCAGCAGCAGCAGCUUUGAAGUGUACCAGUGCUGUCGCAGAGCCUUCCAGAGCACCAGCCCAGAGUUGAGCCUAGCCUUGAGGGAAAACUGCUGUCGGUUUUACAACCACACCAUCUGUGCCUAGCAGGUGCAGGGCGCCUUCACUUCUCCCCACAGAACAUCUGUCCUCAGCUUCCCUCUCCAGGCCACUCAGCAAGUCCCAGGGCCUGGGCCUCCCCAGUGCCACAGCUGGGAAGGGACAAAGAGCACCGGAAAAAGCCCUGUAAUCCACCCCCGAAUAGCACUGGCCUGGACUAUGUGCAAUCAGCAGGAGGGCACCAAGGCUGAGGAGUUGGCCAUCUUCCAGCCCCUUCUUCUCCGGGCCUGGAUCUCACCUCUGCUGUCCCUCUGCCUUUGGCUGAAUAUUGAUGAGUCCUGAUCUCUUUCCAAAGAACAUCAUGUGCUUGAAAGGACUUCUGAUUCAGAAUCAGUGAGACCUGAGUUUGGACAGGACCAUAAUUAUCAUUUGGAGGGUGGCCACCGCCCCCCGCCAGCCUUUCUGAGAAUGUUACACCCACGGCAUGGACAGUGUCUGUCACCACAUUUUAUGUUUGAAUCAUGAGACUCCUAAGAGUGAUUCAUUGAUUGAACCAGGGCAAGGCCAAGUCCAUAUUCUUGCCAGUGGCCUCUCAGAUUCCUGAGAAAGAAUAUGAAUUAUAAAACCCAGAAACAGAGCUGAGAACUGAGUCACCACACUGAGGCCAUCUGAGAGCUGAUCUCAUGCCCACCCUUCCUGCAGGCCAGUUGUCCAGCUUUGCUUUGGAUUUGAUGAGAAUUGACUUAUUUCCAGAAAUCUCCUUUAACCUGAGCUAAUUUGGAAGGUUCCUCUUUGUAAUCAAAAGGACAUUGCCUAGGAUAGCCACUUUAUUAAACUUCCCCUCAUUUUGCUUGGGGAAAGUAGUCGUUUAUUAUUUGCUUAAAUUCCAUCAAAGUUAAGACCCUUACUUCCUCUCUGUACAAUCAACUUUAUUAGAGAGUUCUGCUUUUUAGAAUUCUUUUUAAAAAUUUGCAUCAAAAAGCACUUCAUUUUGGGGCUGGGGAUUUAGCUGAGUGGCACAGAGCCUGCCUGGCAAGUCCACGGUCCUGAGUUCAAUCCCCAGUAGCAAAAAAAAAGAGUAAUUUUGCCAUUCUGGGCCCCUCAGAAAUCUCAUCUUAUGCCUUUACUUUGUUGUUCUUUUUUCCUACUUACCAAAGAAUACUUGAUACUGUUUAAAAAGUCAGAUAUUAUAGAUAUCUUACAGGAAUAUUCUAGUCCCUUUCCACUCAGCAGCUCUUUAACUAUUUGAAGAUGGCAACCAGCCAGGUGUCCCUUCUCUGAGCCAGGGACAGUUGUUCAUCCUGCAACACACAGCAGGGGUUCAGAAUUUGCCCCAGACCUGGUUGCAAUUGUUCUGCAUUCAUAUGCAGACAGUGCAUGAGUCAUGAGUAAGUCCAAGAAACAGCCAGAACAUGGUGUGGUAAAUAUGCUCUCAUGGGUGGAACCAAGAUGAUGUGAUGGAACAAAAGGCAAGAUAUGGCCUCAGGAGGGGGCACCAAGAAGGCCAACUUGUGAGGAAGAAAGAGUGUGAAGAAGCCCACUGGUUCUUCUUGAACCUCAAACCUGAGGGCUUGGACUUGUGCGUGAAACUCGAGGAGGAACUGUCACUGUGGGAGAGAAGAAGAGAGAGUUCUGGCCCAGAUCACAAAGGGGCGUGGAGAUGGGGAACACCAGGAACUGGGUGGGUAGGACCUCAUCCAUUGGGACAUCCUACCUGCCUACAUCAAGGGUGGCAGGCAGGUCCAAACCUCCCUGGAGGUCACUUUCCAGUCCCAGCAGUGGGAGGGAAUUGCUGCUUUGGACCAGCUUCUGCCAAGAUGUGGAAUGGUGAGGCAGGAGGAGCCAUGCUGAGAGAGACUGUGUGACUAGGGGUGAAGGGGAGGCCAGCAUGCCGGGCACUUAUCCAAUGCAGUGGAUAAAGGCUUUCAGAAAAGAGACUCUGAAAGGAAAGUCCACUGUUGAAUGAAACUCUGGCUCUGCCCUAGCAAAAUAUUCCAGUGAGGAAGGAAAGGCAGAGGUGACAAGAAAUCAACAGUGCUAUAUGUGAAUAGCAGGAACCUUGCUCACAAGCUCAGAAUUUUAAAAUAAAGGCACCACAGUCUGGCUGCAGGACACUGACCCAGCAUAGAACACAGCUAAUUGUUCAGUAUCAUUGUCCCCCUUUUUGCCUUUAGUAAUAACUAAUAAAUACUCCAGCUGGGCACAUGACCUCUUGGGAUAAAGACAACAUUUCCCAGCCUUCCUUGCAGCUAGACAGCCAUGUGACUAAGUUCUGGCCAAAACGGUGAGCAGAA